AUGUCCGGAGCGGGAGGUAGAUGGAUGGCCUCUACCAUCACGGAGGGGCACAUCAAAAAGUUGAGGAAGGCCGGAUACUUGUCUGAUGACAUCGCACACCGGCUUCCAGAUGAGGGGCAACUCAUCCCCACCCCUGGGCCCCAUGAGAGGGUCGUAUUUCUCCCCCAUUUCCUUCGCGGACUGGGCUUUCCUCUUCACCCAUUCGUCCGGGGGCUCAUGUUCUACUACGGCCUGGACUUCCACGAUUUGGCCCCGAACUUCAUCCUCAACAUAUCGGCGUUCAUCGUCGUAUGUGAGGUCUUUCUCCGCAUCCAGCCCCACUUCGGCUUAUGGCUGAAGACCUUCAAUGUCAAGCCGAAGGUUGUAGGCGGCCGUCAAGUGGAGUGCGGAGGUGCCAUGGUGGGCAAAAUAGCCAACGUUACAUGGCUCGAGGGCGCCUUCGUAGAGACCAUCAAAGGGUGGCAGUCAGGGUGGUUCUAUAUCACCAAGCCGCGUGACCCCAAAUGGGCAGCGGCCCCCGAAUUCCGAUCUGGCAUCCCCACAUGGCUCACAUCUUGGAAAGAGACGGGCCUGUCGUGGGGUAGUCCAGAAGAGGUGACCGGACUCCAAACCUGCAUCCGAGACCUGGUGAACAAGAAGGUUAAGCUUGUCAAUGUAGUCCAGGUCAUGCUCUUCCCCCGGAUCCUCCCGUGUCAACGACGGGCCUUCAAUUUGUGGGAGUUCGACCCGGCCCAGCACCAGACUUUGUCCCGGCUCUUCGACACAAAGCACGAGGAUGCCUGGAAGGUGCUAUUCAAGAGCUCCGAGGUCUCCCCUCCCGUCACCGAGGAUCACGGAUUCUGCGCCAAGCGCCAAGCCACCGAAGUAAGCUUGCUUUUAGUCCUUCACGGGACACUUGAUUUUCAUAGUUUGACUCUAUGUAGGAUCUAA
This 930-nucleotide ribosomal RNA is filed under the name Triticum aestivum (bread wheat). RNAcentral describes it as "partial small subunit ribosomal RNA". Lineage: Eukaryota; Viridiplantae; Streptophyta; Magnoliopsida; Poales; Poaceae. The record is from RNAcentral.